GAUGAACGCUAGCUACAGGCUUAACACAUGCAAGUCGAGGGGCAGCGGGAUUGAAGCUUGCUUCAAUUGCCGGCGACCGGCGCACGGGUGAGUAACGCGUAUCCAACCUUCCGUACACUCAGGGAUAGCCUUUCGAAAGAAAGAUUAAUACCUGAUGGUAUCUUAAGCACACAUGUAAUUAAGAUUAAAGAUUUAUCGGCGUACGAUGGGGAUGCGUUCCAUUAGGUAGUAGGCGGGUAACGGCCCACCUAGCCAACGAUGGAUAGGGGUUCUGAGAGGAAGGUCCCCCACACUGGUACUGAGACACGGACCAGACUCCUACGGGAGGCAGCAGUGAGGAAUAUUGGUCAAUGGGCGAGAGCCUGAACCAGCCAAGUCGCGUGGAGGAAGACUGCCCUACGGGUUGUAAACUCCUUUUAUACGGGAAUAAAGUAUCCUACGUGUAGGAUUUUGUAUGUACCGUAUGAAUAAGCAUCGGCUAACUCCGUG
RNAcentral lists this ribosomal RNA (489 nucleotides) under uncultured bacterium. Its description in RNAcentral is "bacterial SSU rRNA". It matches the Rfam family "Bacterial small subunit ribosomal RNA", at positions 28 to 507 of the family's 1533-position model. The record is from RNAcentral.